UACGUAGGGUGCAAGCGUUAUCCGGAAUUAUUGGGCGUAAAGAGUGUGUAGGCGGUGCUCUAAGUCUGUCGUGAAAUCUCCCGGCUUAACCGGGAGGCUGCGGCGGAAACUGGUGUGCUAGAGGGUGGGAGAGGUAAGCGGAAUUCCUGGUGCAGCGGUGAAAUGCGUAGAUAUCAGGAGGAACACCUGCGGUGUAGACAGCUUACUGGACCACUUCUGACGCUGAGACACGAAAGCGUGGGUAGCAAACAGG
RNAcentral lists this ribosomal RNA (253 nucleotides) under uncultured bacterium. RNAcentral's name for it is "partial 16S ribosomal RNA". It matches the Rfam family "Bacterial small subunit ribosomal RNA", at positions 524 to 776 of the family's 1533-position model. The record is from RNAcentral.